AUCACCUAUAUGGAUGCAAUGCAGAGGUCUGAUUCUGAUAAAUGGCUUACAGCCAUGAAAUCUGAAAUGAAGUCUAUGAAGAUCAAUGAUAUAUAGACAUUAGUUGACCCACCUGAAGGGGUUAAACUCAUAGGGUGUAAAUAGAUCUUCAAAAAGAAGAAGGAUAUAGACGGAAAGGUAGAGAUCUAUAAAGUCUAUUUGGUUGUCAAUGAUUAUC
RNAcentral lists this long non-coding RNA (217 nucleotides) under Elaeis guineensis (African oil palm). RNAcentral describes it as "long non-coding RNA (EGUI_LNC073679)". Lineage: Eukaryota; Viridiplantae; Streptophyta; Magnoliopsida; Arecales; Arecaceae. The record is from RNAcentral.